UACGGGGGGAGCAAGCGUUGUUCGGAUUUACUGGGCGUAGGGCGCGUAGGCGGCGCCGCAAGUCGACUGUGAAAUCUCCGGGCUUAACCCGGAAAGGUCAGCCGAUACUGCGGGGCUAGAGUGCAGAAGGGGCAACUGGAAUUCUCGGUGUAGCGGUGAAAUGCGUAGAUAUCGAGAGGAACACCUGCGGCGAAGGCGGGUUGCUGGGCUGACACUGACGCUGAUGCGCGAAAGCUAGGGGAGCGAACGGG
RNAcentral lists this ribosomal RNA (251 nucleotides) under uncultured bacterium. RNAcentral's name for it is "partial 16S ribosomal RNA". It matches the Rfam family "Bacterial small subunit ribosomal RNA", at positions 524 to 776 of the family's 1533-position model. The record is from RNAcentral.